CUAUCUAAUCUAGUCCAGGUUUCUAAGUUUUGACGAGAAGAACUGUGUCUCUUAUCACAUAAUUGUAUUAUUUUUAUAUUAAGUUAUAUUUGGCGUUGGUCAGACAUCAUCAAGAUUAUGCUGUGUACUUCUGAGGACCAUAAUCUCUCACAGGAAGGGUGUAGGUCUAUUAGAAUCUGUACAAAGGAGAAUGACUGAAAGGAUACAGGGAGAAAGGAGCUAAUAUUCCUGACGAAAGGAGACUGAAGCUUUUGAAAAUUACAUUCCUUAGAGAGGCUUAAGUUAAGAGGGGACUCGAUAGAAGUCUGUGAGUGGUAUAAAGGUUUUAACAAGCAAAAUUCUCAGGAUCAGUAAUCAUGAUAGAACAAUAAUGGGUUAAAGUUUGGAAAAAAAAAAGUUAGAUUAAGGAGAGAGAGAAAAAAAAAAAGGAAGGAAUUGAUUCUCAAAUAGAGUGGUAGAUGAAUAGAAUGGCCUCAGUGGUUGUUAAUGAGGAUUCUUUAGGAAGUGUUAAAAGAAGAUUAGAUAAAUUUAUGGAUGCGGAAGAUAGGUGGAAAUAGGUAGGUAUAUAUGUUUAAUACAGGGGCUGCCACGUGUAGGCCUGAUGGCUUCUUGCAAUUUCCACUUGUGUUCUUAUGUUCUCCUUUGGAAUAAUCACGCUUAGAAUAAUCAUGCAUGCCGGGAAUUAGAAGACCCGUAUUACACAAGCACUAAUACCUAUUCUGAAACGAUUAAUUUACGUCGGGAGUGUUAUACAGAACCACUCCUUUUAUUUUGGAAGAAAAAUAAUGUUCCAGCAUUAACAAAGACGCAAGUAAUUUGAGGACAAAUCCUAGAAUAAUACAACAGCGCCAGUUCUGAAGACAGGCUUACUAAAAUCUACAAAGUUUAGAGAACAUGCUACUGAAACGCACAAAUUGUUUUCAGUGGGAGAAAAUUUGUUCCAAGGAGGAAUGAACAGAGGUGUUGAGAUAGGAGACGUGGUGCCGGGACCGGAAGUUUAAAUGUCAGAUGAAUUAUUGCUUAGUGACCUAGAGCUAAGGAAGAUGGGGUCUCCUUGGCCUGAGCUGAGAUAUUCACGUAAGCCACCAGCCAACCGCACGGUUAAAUGUUUCACCAUAUUGCUUCAUUAUACUGGAAAUUUAUGUUCCUGAUAAAUAUAGAGCACAUCUUUUUUUCAUGUGCAGGAAAAGUAUUAUUCGCUUAAAGCAAGAAUGAGCUUAAAGAGUAGCCAACCUGUUGAAGGAGCUUCCCCGACUUGCAAUACAAGGUUCCUAUGAAGUGCUUAUUAAUUAUCUCUUACUUUGAUACUUGAUGAAUGUGCUUUAUAUAUAUUACCUCCAGUGUCAGCUGCUUACUACACGUUACCAACCAUCGACCAGUAUGAUUUAUUAAUGAUCCUUCGUCCCUGCAGCGCCGCGCCACGUCACAUACCUCAUCUCGGCCAUUGCCACCUUGCGAUAUCUGUUGGCAUGCGUUCAGAAUGUGUAAAUAACCAAGCGAAUACACAUGUAAAUAAAACAAUAGUUUUGCAGUGUUGUUAAUGUGUUGCAGUAGCCAGUGAGUUAACCACAUCAAUUAAGUAUUCGUAACCUUCCAAUGAUCAGCCGGUAAGAUGUCAGUUCGGUGUAUGGAAAAGCACACAAGUAUGCUCAUAAAAUUUUCGGAAAUGUUUUUGGUCCGAUAUUUAAUCAAUAAUUGCAUGUGUUUAUUUGUUCAAGUGGGUUAAUUAAGGUGACUAAGAAAUGUUGACAUUCACGCCCUCAGCCUGAUCAUCGUGGCUCAGGCAGCGGGGUCAUGCAGCGCGUCACCCAAUACUUCUUCAGGCCGAGCACAGUAGCGGGAACAAACCAACGGGUGUAGUACGUUUUGUUCUUCUACUUAUAAUCUUCUCAUUUAUUCUACGUUGUGUUCACAUCUGCCUGAUUGUGGGAGAAACACGCCAUUCUUUUUUUUUUUUAUAGCAGAGGAGCAUAUUGCCGGCGUCAUGGUGAACCCCAUCGUGUAUAUGGACGGGGAUCAGAUCAUGCGGAUGGUGCUGAGUGCUGUGCCGUAUUUCCUGCUGUGCAUGGUCUUCUGGGUGUUCAUCCGCCUAGCGUGGAGGUGCUUCACCUACCCCAUGGAACAGAGGAGCAUCAUUCGUAAACAACAGCAAGAGGAAGAGAAGAAAAAAAAGAAAUAAAUGUAAUGCAUUAUAAUUCUUCUUUGAAAGGCAAUAGGUAAAGAGAUAGCUACAGCAGAUUAAUAAUAAUAAUGAUAACAAUAACAUUACUACUACUUACAAUAGAAUAUCUUUAUUUGAAUUAAUUUAAAAAUCAUGAAAUACCUCUUUCCUUUCGUUAUAACACAUAUUAUGAAACAAGUUUGUAUAGUACAAAAUAAACUAACACUGGUCUGGUUGUUCCUGCCAGUUCCUAACUCUCUCUCGCGCUCCCUCUCCUUCUCUCUCUCUCCCCCUCUCUCUCUCUCUCUCUCUGCAAACUUAAUUGUACUAUAUCCCUGAAUCAUCGCUUAUUAAGAGUACACUGGUAGUACAGGGACAACAUUGGCGUCCCCUUUGUGUGGUGGUGAGGCUACCAGCAUUGCAGUAUGCCACAUUGCCAUUGCAUAAAGGAGUGUGGCCUGAGCUUCAACCUCACCAUGUGUUGAGCUUAUCUGGGGAAGGCAGUGGGUCUCUACCCUCUAUUAAAUAAUAUAGGGCCAUUAUGGUUGUCAUAUUGAACAUGGUGACUCACACUCAUAGAAUGAAGCACCUGAGUAGAACCAUUACUAGUUGGCUUUAAAUAUAACCGAGAGGAUAAUGGGAUGCUCUCGUGUUGUACUGUUGUCACAGGUAUGUAGGCAUAUAUGUAUUUUGACACUGUUUAUGUAACAUUUUUGAAUUGCCAGUUUGGGAGUUAAAACUGUAAUAAACAACUUUUGUAA
Long non-coding RNA from Scylla paramamosain (green mud crab), 2922 nucleotides. RefSeq lists it as uncharacterized. The record is from RefSeq and is a predicted model, not a curated record. Lineage: Eukaryota; Metazoa; Arthropoda; Malacostraca; Decapoda; Portunidae. The transcript has 2 exons.